AUUGAACGCUGGCGGCAUGCCUUACACAUGCAAGUCGAACGGCAGCACGGGUGCUUGCACCUGGUGGCGAGUGGCGAACGGGUGAGUAAUACAUCGGAACAUGUCCUGUAGUGGGGGAUAGCCCGGCGAAAGCCGGAUUAAUACCGCAUACGAUCUACGGAUGAAAGCGGGGGACCUUCGGGCCUCGCGCUAUAGGGUUGGGCGAUGGCUGAUUAGCUAGUUGGGGGGGUAAAGGCCUACCAAGGCGACGGUCAGUAGCUGGUCUGAGAGGACGACCAGCCACACUGGGACUGAGACACGGCCCAGACUCCUACGGGAGGCAGCAGUGGGGAAUUUUGGACAAUGGGCGAAAGCCUGAUCCAGCAAUGCCGCGUGUGUGAAGAAGGCCUUCGGGUUGUAAAGCACUUUUGUCCGGAAAGAAAUCCUUGGCCCUAAUACGGUCGGGGGAUGACGGUACCGGAAGAAUAAGCACCGGCUAACUACGUG
Molecule: ribosomal RNA, 486 nt
Filed under: uncultured bacterium
Lineage: Bacteria
Description: partial 16S ribosomal RNA
Rfam family: Bacterial small subunit ribosomal RNA
Source: RNAcentral